CCCUCUCCCCGCAGCCGCCGCCAUGUUAGACGCUCUCUCCAUGUGCCCCGAGUCCCAGCCAUCCUCUCCAGUCUCCCCAGGACCCAGCCCCCAACGAAUCUAAAUCGUGGCAGUCCCCCGCCCCUUCACAGUCCCCUAGGAACAAAAAGUCGCUGCAGAAAAUCAUCUCGCGAUUGAGCUGAGCCUGAGGCUCGGGGGGACACCUAAACAAUUGAAACAAAGAGGGAAACGCAGGGGAGCCCAUCGCAUGGGCGCGGGGGUAGCAAAUCGAAGACCCAUUCAAAAUGGGCCUGCCGGAAAGGCAGUUCUACCUUAAGAUUCUAAACACACUUCUCUCCUACGGAAGAAGAGGGGACGCUCGACAGGUCUCGAGUGCAUGGUAACCGAGCGGACAGACCCCAAGGCUGCAGGACGCAGGCCGCCCCAACUCCACGAGGCGGUCGGUUGAACCCGGAGCCCCCCGCGCAGGGACCUCUUCAUUUUGGGCCCUCGUCAGAGAAAUCGGGCCUCAGAGACGGAAAGAAGGGCACCAUACAGUGAAGUCCUGACGACAGGCCCCCACCCUCACAUGUCCCACUCCUAAAGGCCAAAAAGCCGGACCCACAGCGGAAGAGUAAUAAAGAGGCCUGGGGUACAGUGCCGCGUCCGAGUCAGGUGACAAGUGCCUCUUCCAAGAGCCCGUUUUCUGGGCACGAAGCUCCCGCUGAACGUGGAGACGGGGCGUGUGGGCCAGGGGGUGGGAGGAGGGGACCUAGUAACGCUCCCGAGACGAAAAGAAGCGAAGGCUCCAGCGACCAGGGUCGGAGGGGCCGCAGAGCCCGGCCGCAGCCACCCCUCCCUUCCCCGCCAACUCCUGGCACCUUUUUCUUCUCCAGGUUCCGAAGUUUCUUGUCGAUCACCCCGAGAAUCUGCUUCAUGGCCUCGGUCUGGACAGCGCCGGUGCCGGUUGCGGGGUGCUGAGAAGCCGGCGCGGCGGCCCCGGCUCCCGCGGCCGCCUCACUCCCGGAGGAACCCGACGGCGGUGGCGGUCCGGACGACUUGCUGCCGCUCCCGCUGUGGCUGGUGGCCGAGGGCAUCUUCAGACCGCAAGGAGAGAGAAGAAAAAGCGGGAGGAAGGACAAGAGCGGCCAGUCAGGAGACGGACGGGGCGAGACGCGGGACAAAACGCGCAGCGAGCGGUAGCCUACGCGAGCGGGUGGGGGAGGGGGCGCGGCGCGCCUCGAGGGCAGGAAGAGUGCGCGGGCGCGCGCGCGACCCGCCAGCGGGGCGCCCGGCUGGGCCUCGCACCGCCCCCCGACCCGCCCCUCCCCCGCGGAGCCGCCGGCUCGGCCUACCAGCCCGGGGGCUCCGAGGCUCGCGCCGGAGGCGGGGCAUCGCCGCGCCGGCCGCCAACGGCCACUGCAACGGUCCCUACCGGGGAGGGCCGGCUUUUGCCGGCUUCCGGAGAAGGGAGGAAAGAGAGAGGUUUACCUAACACUGUAAAGAGAACGUUCAAUGAAAUACAAAGAAAAAGAUGAUUUUUUUGCUCCAAGAGAAUUAUUCCAGCCUUGGGGUGGAGUGGGUGUGGACAGUGAGCAGAAAAACAAGAAACCAAGUUCUGGGAGGAAAUAAAAUGAAUAUAAUCAGUGGAAAAUUCAGCAACGCAAUAUUGUGUGACAACAGUAAAUGACCAAUUUAUAAUUUAAAUUCUAUGAAAAAGAGAUUUAGAAGAGAGUUCUACCAAACCCACUGUUCCCUAGGGAAUAAAAUGAGUAACGCUGACUGGCAACAGUGCAUCCUGAGGGAGCCUGGAGAAACAACAGCAGCCUCCGACCUCAAGAUAUCCUGGUAGUGCUGUGACAGUGUCUUAAGUAGGGCAUGUUGAUAGAUGGAAAAGGACGGCAAACUCGAGGUGCUGAUUCAGGAAGAAGCAGAUUCCAAGAUGGAAGAGAAAAUAUCGAGAGAAAUAUGCCGAGAGAAGAAUCCAGGCAGAAUGGAAUCCAGGCAGAAUGGUGAAUGGAAGGUUCGGGUGACCAAGAGAAAGGAAGGGUGACUCAGCAAGUCUGUAGUUUCAGCUCUUGUAUAGUACGUUAUACUUGAAAAGCUGAAGCCUUUUCUCGGGGAAGAGUCAGAACGGCCUGGAGGGCUUGCUAAAGCGCUGCUGGCUGGGCCCCGCCCGCUGAAUGACUAAUGGAGACUCUGAGGGCCGGCUGGUAAUUUGAGUUUCUAACAAGCCCUGUUUCGAUGCUGGUACAGCCGAUCUAGGGAAAAUAUUGGAACAAGGAAAAAACUAAGAAGAAAUUUUAAAAAGUAAUCAAAGGCGGCCAAGUGAGGUGGCUCACGCCUGUGAUCCUAGCGCUUUGGGAGGCCGAGGCGGGCAGAUAUCUGAGGUCAGGGGUUUGAAGACCAACAUGGAGAAACCACGUCUCUACUAGAAAUACGAAAACUAGCCAGGCGUGGUGGCUAAUGCCUGUAAUCCUAACUAGUCAGGAGGCUGAGGCAGAGGAGUCGCUUGAACCCAGGAGGGGGAGGUUGCAGUGAGCCGAGAUCGCGCCACUGCACUCCAGCCUGGGCAACAAAGACUCCAUCUCAAAAAAAAAAAAAAAAGUAAUAAAAAAUGACAGUAGUGUACUGUAAUAUGUAUGUUUUCUGCUGCUACUUUUUGUUUUGCAUUUUCCUCUUAAAGAGACCAGAAGAUGGCUGGGCUCAGUGGCUCAUGCCUGUAAUCCCAGCACUUUGGGAGGCCGAGGCAGGUGGAUCACCUGAGGUCAGGAGUUUGAGACCAGCCUGGCCAAUAUGAUGAAACCCUGUCUCUACCAAAAAUACAAAAAUUAGCCAGGCGUGGUGGCAGGCGCCUGUAAUCCCAGCUACUCGGGAGGCUGAGGCAGGAGAACGGUUUGAACCCGGGAGGCCAAGGUUGCAGUAAGCCAAGAUCACGCCAUCACACUCCAGCCUGGGGGACAAGAGUGAGACUUCGUCUCCCAAAAAAAAAAAACCAAAAAGAGGGCAGAAGAGAAAAAAUAGAAGGAGAUAUUGGACAUCCUAGUCAUACCCCAUUUAGACUUUGCCUACAGAGGACAAUGAAAGAAGGCAGCAACCUUUUCUCUGGGCCCUCCUUGUCUAAACCAAAUGCAGAUCUGGCAGCCCUAUAGUAUUGCAAGAUCAUAUUCCUUGGCGUUCUUUGGAGCUAGAGCUGGUGGUGUUUCUCCUCGUGAAUGCUGUGCUAACAUCCACCUAAAGCGGAAAGAAGACAGUUCUUUAGGAUAGCUAGGGCUGAUUUGAUGUGAGAA
This 3269-nucleotide long non-coding RNA is filed under the name Homo sapiens (human). Its description in RNAcentral is "non-protein coding lnc-ABTB2-4:1". Lineage: Eukaryota; Metazoa; Chordata; Mammalia; Primates; Hominidae. The record is from RNAcentral.